UACGUAGGGUGCAAGCGUUAAUCGGAAUUACUGGGCGUAAAGCGUGCGCAGGCGGUUUUGUAAGUCUGACGUGAAAUCCCCGGGCUCAACCUGGGAAUUGCGUUGGAGACUGCGAGGCUAGAAUCUGGCAGAGGGGGGUAGAAUUCCACGUGUAGCAGUGAAAUGCGUAGAGAUGUGGAGGAACACCGAUGGCGAAGGCAGCCCCCUGGGUCAAGAUUGACGCUCAUGCACGAAAGCGUGGGGAGCAAACAGG
Molecule: ribosomal RNA, 253 nt
Filed under: uncultured bacterium
Lineage: Bacteria
Description: partial 16S ribosomal RNA
Rfam family: Bacterial small subunit ribosomal RNA
Source: RNAcentral